GGGCGCGUAGCUCAGGUGGUAGAGCAACGGCCUUUUAAGCCGUGGGUCCCAGGUUCGAGUCCUGGCGCGCUCA
This 73-nucleotide transfer RNA is filed under the name Candidatus Latescibacterota bacterium. RNAcentral describes it as "tRNA-Lys". It matches the Rfam family "tRNA". From Rfam's summary of the family: Transfer RNA (tRNA) molecules are approximately 80 nucleotides in length. Their secondary structure includes four short double-helical elements and three loops (D, anti-codon, and T loops). Further hydrogen bonds mediate the characteristic L-shaped molecular structure. tRNAs have two regions of fundamental functional importance: the anti-codon, which is responsible for specific mRNA codon recognition, and the 3' end, to which the tRNAs corresponding amino acid is attached (by aminoacyl-tRNA synthetases). tRNAs cope with the degeneracy of the genetic code in two manners: having more than one tRNA (with a specific anti-codon) for a particular amino acid; and 'wobble' base-pairing, i.e. permitting non-standard base-pairing at the 3rd anti-codon position. Lineage: Bacteria; Pseudomonadati; Candidatus Latescibacterota. The record is from RNAcentral.